Molecule: ribosomal RNA, 252 nt
Filed under: uncultured bacterium
Lineage: Bacteria
Description: partial 16S ribosomal RNA
Rfam family: Bacterial small subunit ribosomal RNA
Source: RNAcentral
UACGUAGGUCCCGAGCGUUGUCCGGAUUUAUUGGGCGUAAAGCAAGCGCAGGUGGUUUAUUAAGUCUGGUGUAAAAGGCAGUGGCUCAACCAUUGUAUGCAUUGGAAACUGGUAGACUUGAGUGCAGGAGAGGAGAGCGGAAUUCCAUGUGUAGCGGUGAAAUGCGUAGAUAUAUGGAGGAACACCGGUGGCGAAAGCGGCUCUCUGGCCUGUAACUGACACUGAGGCUCGAAAGCGUGGGGAGCAAACAGG